RNAcentral lists this microRNA (22 nucleotides) under Equus caballus (horse). RNAcentral's name for it is "eca-miR-615-3p". Its record names the gene eca-miR-615-3p. Lineage: Eukaryota; Metazoa; Chordata; Mammalia; Perissodactyla; Equidae. The record is from miRBase by way of RNAcentral.
UCCGAGCCUGGGUCUCCCUCUC